GACGAACGCUGGCGGCGUGCUUAACACAUGCAAGUCGAACGGUGAAGCACCUUCCUUUUGGUGGGUGUGGCUGAGUGGCGAACGGGUGAGUAACACGUGAGUAACCUGCCCCCUUCUUCUGGAUAACCGCAUGAAAGUGUGGCUAAUACGGGAUAUUCUGGGUCUGUCGCAUGGCGGGCCUGGGAAAGAUAUUGUUUCGGUGGGGGAUGGGCUCGCGGUCUAUCAGCUUGUUGGUGGGGUGAUGGCCUACCAAGGCGGUGACGGGUAGCCGGCCUGAGAGGGUGGACGGUCACGCUGGGACUGAGACACGGACCAGACUCGUACGGGAGGCAGCAGUGGGGAAUAUUGCACAAUGGGCGGAAGGCUGAUGCAGCGACGCCGCGUGAGGGAUGGAGGCCUUCGGGUUGUAAACCUCUUUCGCCAGUGAAGCAGGACUGUCCCUUUUGUGGGUGGGUUGACGGUAGCUGGAUAAGAAGCGCCGGCUAACUACGUG
RNAcentral lists this ribosomal RNA (493 nucleotides) under uncultured bacterium. RNAcentral describes it as "partial 16S ribosomal RNA". It matches the Rfam family "Bacterial small subunit ribosomal RNA", at positions 28 to 507 of the family's 1533-position model. The record is from RNAcentral.